This 85-nucleotide transfer RNA is filed under the name Candidatus Nomurabacteria bacterium RIFOXYB1_FULL_36_10. RNAcentral's name for it is "tRNA-Leu". It matches the Rfam family "tRNA". Rfam says of the family: Transfer RNA (tRNA) molecules are approximately 80 nucleotides in length. RNAcentral also lists the same sequence under 3 other names. Lineage: Bacteria; Candidatus Nomuraibacteriota. The record is from RNAcentral.
GCCGGAGUGGCGGAAUUGGUAUACGCGCGCGACUCAAAAUCGCGUCUCGCAAGGGAUGGAGGUUCAAGUCCUCUCUCCGGCACAA